ACUCCUACGGGAGGCAGCAGUGGGGAAUAUUGCACAAUGGGGGAAACCCUGAUGCAGCCAUGCCGCGUGUGUGAAGAAGGCCUUCGGGUUGUAAAGCACUUUCAGUAGGGAGGAGAGGGUGAGUCUUAAUACGGCUCAUCUGUGACGUUACCUACAGAAGAAGGACCGGCUAACUCCGUGCCAGCAGCCGCGGUAAUACGGAGGGUCCGAGCGUUAAUCGGAAUUACUGGGCGUAAAGCGUGCGCAGGCGGUUUGUUAAGCGAGAUGUGAAAGCCCUGGGCUCAACCUAGGAAUAGCAUUUCGAACUGGCGAACUAGAGUCUUGUAGAGGGGGGUAGAAUUCCAGGUGUAGCGGUGAAAUGCGUAGAGAUCUGGAGGAAUACCGGUGGCGAAGGCGGCCCCCUGGACAAAGACUGACGCUCAUGCACGAAAGCGUGGGGAGCAAACAGGAUUAGAUACCCUGGUAGUCCACGCCGUAACGAUGUCUACUCGGAGUUUGGUGUCUUGAACACUGGGCUCUCAAGCUAACGCAUUAAGUAGACCGCCUGGGGAGUACGGCCGCAAGGUUAAAACUCAAAUGAAUUGACGGGGGCCCGCACAAGCGGUGGAGCAUGUGGUUUAAUUCGAUGCAACGCGAAGAACCUUACCUACUCUUGACAUCCACAGAA
This 667-nucleotide ribosomal RNA is filed under the name uncultured Shewanella sp. RNAcentral's name for it is "bacterial SSU rRNA". It matches the Rfam family "Bacterial small subunit ribosomal RNA", at positions 335 to 995 of the family's 1533-position model. Lineage: Bacteria; Pseudomonadati; Pseudomonadota; Gammaproteobacteria; Alteromonadales; Shewanellaceae. The record is from RNAcentral.